GCUAAGGACAUAAAUGAUCUGAAUG
This 25-nucleotide non-coding RNA is filed under the name Cricetulus griseus (Chinese hamster). The record is from RNAcentral. Lineage: Eukaryota; Metazoa; Chordata; Mammalia; Rodentia; Cricetidae.